GACGAACGCUGGCGGCGUGCUUAACACAUGCAAGUCGAACGGAAAGGCCCUGCUUUUGUGGGGUGCUCGAGUGGCGAACGGGUGAGUAACACGUGAGUAACCUGCCCUUGACUUUGGGAUAACUUCAGGAAACUGGGGCUAAUACCGGAUAGGAGCUCCUGCUGCAUGGUGGGGGUUGGAACGUUUCGGCUGUUGGGGAUGGACUCGCGGCUUAUCAGCUUGUUGGUGGGGUAGUGGCUUACCAAGGCUUUGACGGGUAGCCGGCCUGAGAGGGUGACCGGCCACAUUGCGCCUGAGAUACGGACCAGACUCGUACGGGAGGCAGCAGGGGGGAAUAUUGCACAAUGGGCGGAAGCGUGAUGCAGCAAUCCCGCGUGCGGGAUGACGGCCUUCGGGUUGUAAACCGCUUUCGCCUGUGACGAAGCGUGAGUGACGGUAAUGGGUAAAGAAGCACCGGCUAACUACGUG
RNAcentral lists this ribosomal RNA (468 nucleotides) under uncultured bacterium. RNAcentral describes it as "partial 16S ribosomal RNA". It matches the Rfam family "Bacterial small subunit ribosomal RNA", at positions 28 to 507 of the family's 1533-position model. The record is from RNAcentral.